UACGGAGGUGGCAAGCGUUGUCCGGCAUUAUUGGGCGUAAAGCGCGCGCAGGCGGCCUUUUAAGUCUGAUGUAAAAGCCCCCGGCUCAACCGGGGAGGGUCAUUGGAAACUGGGAGACUUGAGUGCAGAAGAGGAGAGUGGAAUUCCACGUGUAGCGGUGAAAUGCGUAGAUAUGUGGAGGAACACCAGUGGCGAAGGCGACUCUCUGGUCUGUAACUGACGCUGAGGCGCGAAAGCGUGGGGGGCAAACAGG
Molecule: unclassified non-coding RNA, 253 nt
Filed under: uncultured Bacillaceae bacterium
Lineage: Bacteria; Bacillati; Bacillota; Bacilli; Caryophanales; Bacillaceae
Description: contains 16S-23S intergenic spacer region
Rfam family: Bacterial small subunit ribosomal RNA
Source: RNAcentral